UUAGGCUUUUCCCCCAAAACACCAAAUCAGUUUUCCCCUAAAUUCACAUAAAUGGUGUCAUUUUUUCCACCCUUUUAUCCCCAAAAACAUACCUAAAAAGUUUAAGUGUUUUCCCCCUAAAAUUUUCCCCCUAACCCUAAAUUUUCAGCAAAUCCAAACCCAACCCAUCUCUCCAUCGCCGGACCCGACCAUCUGUUGCAUCGCCAUCGACUCGACCAUCUGCUGCGUCACCGUUGCACUCCUCUGCUGCAACUAAUCAGUAAGUCGAAACCCUCACUCAGCUAUUUCUCCCAUCUUCUUCUCGGUUCUCAUUUUAUUGGUUUGAUGCUUUCCGAUUUUUGUAACAGGGAAUUGAAACCUGGGUUAGAGAAAUUACUGGUGAAGGAAUUCACAAUCUUCUGCAGCAGCUUCACCUGCUACUUCAUCAUCAUAUUUACUUUCGGACACUGAAUAGAAGAGAAAGGGGAAGAAGGGAAAGAUAAAGGGUACGCUUUUUUGGAUUAUUUCUUCUUGUGUACCAUAAAGACUUGCUUUUUUGUUCAUCUUUCGUAUAUGUUCUCGUUUUUGUUUUGCUACUUAAAUGACUUAAUAUAUAUAUGAUUUGUUAUUGUAUCGAGAUGGACAUGGUAAAAUACAGAGAAAUUGAAUAAAGAUUUUUACUAAUCUUGGCAAUUUGGUUUCUGCCUUGUACAUUCCCAUCAACUUUAUUCUGAAAUGAAUCUCUGUGAUAUAUUGAUAUAUUUUUACUUGUAUGGUCUUUGAAGCUUGCAUUAGCAUAAAGCAUGAUAAUUUCUAUACAAUUUUCUGUUUGAUUUUGAAGCAGUAUCAUUUGCAAUUAUGGCAAGUAUGUUAAAAAAGCCUUAAUCUCAAAUUGUAACCAGCUGAGUUUAGUAUUUGCUGCUGAUAUAAAUGAGUUCACACUUUCCAAUUUUUACCUUCUGAUGGUAUAAUCUGUGAUAUGAACUUAUUCUAACCUUCUAAGUUUUUCAAAGUCUUGGAUGAUGUAAAAGUAUGAUGAAAUUUUGUGUGCAAGGAAGGGAACCUAUAUUUGUUAGUAGGUUAAAAUAUGCUUCAAUUCCUUGGAAUUUAAUCUUUCUAUUUUUAUUUCUAAGUAUGAUGUUUGCUGUUUUUGUGCUUGUCUAAUCUUGAUGUUCUCCUAGUGCCAUAGGAGUUUAAUGCUUUACUGCUUAUUGUGCACCUAUUGUGUCUGGGUCGUUAAAUCUUUGCUCAACGGCUUGAGUUGACAGAAGCUCAAGAAAGUUCGUUGUAUUUGGCAAAAAUCAGUGUAUUUGGGCUACAAAUAAACAUAAAAUUGGGCCAAACAAAUAAAAAAUAAUAUAAUAACCCAAAACAUUAUAUAAAACCCUUUUAGGUGGUUUUUAAUUGAUUUAACUACUUAUUUCUGGUUUUUUUAAUGCUUACGAGCGAUUCAAUGUUAAUCUAAUUUAAUGGUAGUUGUUGUCGUGUUGGACAAAUCGAUUUCAAUUGGUAUGUAGUGUUUUAUAAUUGGUACAAAUAAUUUCUAUAUUUUAUAAUACAUAUUUAAAAUUUUAUCUAUAUAUUUUAAUAUGAUUCAUACUAAAUCAAAGCAUACAUGUAGUAAAUUUCACUUGGAAAAAAAAUCAGAUAAAUGAAUAAUUGAAAAGGAUAGAAAUAUAAAAUAAAUAAAAAAUAUAAAUUUUUAUUUUUAUCUUUUUUUUAUAAAGUUGAAAAAUUAAAAACAUAAUAUUUAAAAGGGUAAAUUACACCAACAGUCACUUAACUUUGGGGUAGCUGGCAAAACAGUCAUCUUAAUUUCAUUUCAGUCACUCAACUUUGAAAAAGUGAUAAAACAGUCCUUUCCGUCACAGACGUCACGGUAAAGUGACAUGGCAGAUGACAGUCUCUAGUUGGCCGGUUACCACCAAUUUAAUAGCCCUAUCAGUAUUAAUUUAGGGUUUAAAAAGAGAAAAAGAAGAAAAAAAGAAGAAGAAAAAGAAGAAGAUGAGAAGAAAAAGAAGAAGAAGAGAAAAAAUAGAGAUGUAUCCAGUUUUCCAAUCAACGGCAACCGUCGCUGUUGCCAAUAACUUCCCCUACGUGAGUCUUGAAAUUGAUAUCCGCCUAAUUCGACCCUCUCAUCGCUAAAGAAAUCUUCGAUGUUGCCACCACCAACCCAGUUUUUGUCAUUCUUACUCUUCCUUCCUCAUCCUCAUUCUCAAACUCGGUGGUUCCAAGCACUUCUAUCUUGUCAACAACCUUCUCGUUCGUCUCAAAUCUGAUCAAAAUCUAUGUCGACACUCUUUUCUUACCUCAUCAAAAUCUAUGCUGAAGCUGAUUUAUCCCAGAAAGCUCUCAAUGUGUUCUACAAAAUGCUUGAAUUCAAUGUUAAGCCUUUACGCAAACACUUAAAUCAUAUCCUCGAGCUGGUUGUUUCUCAUCGUGACUUCAUCAUGCCUAUUUUUAACCUUUUCAAGAUUGCCUAUAAAUACGGUGUUUUCCCCAAUACCAAAUCUUACAACAUUUUGAUGGGUGCAUUUUGUUUGAACGGGGACUUAAGUAUUGCGUACAAACUGUUCAAAAAAAUGUUUGAGAGAGGUGUUAUGCCUGAUGUCGAGUCUUAUAGGAUAUUAAUGCAAGGAGUAUGCAAGAAGAGUCAAGUGAAUAGAGCUGUAGAUUUGUUAGAAGAUAUGUUGAAUAAAAGAUUUGUACCAGAUUCAUUGAGUUAUACUACUUUGUUGAAUAGUUUGUGUAGGAAGAAGAAGCUUAGAAAAGGAAGAGCUAUGGAUGCUGUUAAGGUUUUUGCACAGCCAUUACAGUGGAAGAAAUCAUAACAACUGUUGAGAAAUUUUAUAUUUCAAGAUAACUUUAAGCUUGGAUAUCAAUGGUAUCGCCCUUGUUUAUACCACUGCAACUUUAGCUGCUGCUACGACAAGUUGCCUACUUGUCAUCACUUUUUUCUUGGUUGUGUUACUUGGGUAAAUUAUACCAUCAGUGGCCAAUGACAAGAGACGAAUUUUAGGUCAGCAGAGAAUCAUUAUUAGCCAACCAAACAAGAGCGUUAUUUCUAGAUGUGCUGUAAUACCAAACAGAGAAAGUGUAGAGAUUUGUAGAAGAACUCAUUGACUUAAACCCAGCAGCGAAGACUUUGUUUCAACAGAUAAGAAUUUUUUUUGAGAUGGAGUCCAUGGGAAAUUCAAGAAAUUGAAAUAUCGAUAUGUCCGGGACAACAAUGGUAGAAGGUUACAAAGGAAGAGGCAAAGAAUCAGACCCGGCCAAAUUUAAGCAAAGAAGAUUUUUUUUACAAUCUCUUCUUUUUCUUCUUCUUCUUCUUUUUCUUUUUCUUCUCUGUUAUUAACGUUAUUUUUUUUCAAUUUUUUCUUAAAUUGGGUGGGUUUUACUGUGUACAUCUGUAACACCCCGAACCCGAGACCGUCACCGGAGUCGAACACGAGGUGUUAACAGACUUUAAACCACUUAUAAAAAAAAUUUCCCAGACACUGCCAAUCUGCGUGCUAGUCGCUUUAAAAAUCAUAUCUUGAGUUCAGAAACUCGGAAUCCAGUUUCGUAAAUUUUCCCUGAAACUAGACUCAUGCCCAUCUACAUAUUUUUUUCUAGAAUUUUUGGUUGGGCCAAUUAGUACAGUUUAUUAGUCAAAGUCUCCCAUGUUACAAGGAUCGACUACACUGACCUUUGCGCAUUACGACUUGGAUAUCUCCCUGUACAGGGCUUCAAUACUGAUGCUGUUUGUUUCUAUAGAAACUAGACUCAGAGAGGAAUCUAUACAUAUAUGGCAUGACUCCUAAUUGUCUCUGGUUAAUUUAUAAUGAAUUUCCAAAGUCGAAACAGGAAAUCCAGAAACCGUUCUGGCCCUGUCUCACGAGAACCUGAAUAUCUCUAAACAUACUAUCCAUAUGAUUGUUUCGUUACUUUCCUAUGAAAAUAGAUUCAUCAAGGUUCGUUUACAUAAUUUAUUCACUAUUUAAUUCCAUUCCUACUAUUUUUAGUGAUUUUCCAAAUCUACAUCACUGCUGCUGUCAGCAUCUGCCUUUAAGGUAGACUUUACCUAUUUCAUAGUUUCCAUGAUUCAACUAGCCCUUUUAGCAUAAAUAGCACAAAUUAUGAUAGUGAUUAACCAUUCCCAUGGCCAAUCCUUGUUAAGCAUAUCCACACCUCUCAAUAACCAUAUCCAUACCAAAUGAUGAUAACAUUAUGCUCAAACAUAUAUAAGCCAUUUUCGCAUGGCUAUCCAAAAUUAUACAAGUCCAAAGGGUCCAUGACCCACAACAAAAAGGGUAGUCCUAUACAUGCCAUUUCGAAGUUCAACCAAAAUUGUACCAAAAGGGGGGGCUUUGAUAGUGUGGGCGACUUCGACUUCAAAAUCCCGAGUCCGAUAGCUGGAGAACCAAAAUCUAUAAAACAGAGAAUCAAGGAGACGGAGUAAGCAAUUUAUGCUUAGUAAGUUUUGAGCAAGGGAUUCCAGCACAACAAAAGUAUAGCAUUCAUGUAGCUAAACGGAUAAUUUCAUAUGCACAAUUUUUCAAUAUCAUACUUACUUCACAUUACCAACCCUUUUAUUCAUACACAAAGAUCAACUUAGCCAAAGGCCGGUAGCUCAUUUAUCAACUGAGCGAAUACUUAUUUGUAAUGGCUCAACUAAUUCAAAGCACAUACGAAACAUACCUUAAUGUUGGGAUGUUUCAAGCGUAUUAACUGAAAUUUUUACAGCAAGAUCAUUCAUUCUCAAAUCACGUACCUUCGGAAUUUAACUGGAUAUAGCUACUCGUUCAAAUGCCUUCGGGACAUAGCCCGGUUAUAGUAACUCGCACAAAUGCCUUCGGGACUUCACCCGGGUUUAGUAACUCGCACAAAUGCCUUCGGGAUUUAACCCGGAUUUAGUAACUCGCACAAAUGCCUUCGGGCUUAACCCGGAAUUAGUAUCUCGCACAAAUGCCUUCGGAUCUUAGUCCGGAUAUGGUCACUUAGCACAAAGCCUUCGGGACUUAGCUCGGACAUCAUUCAAAUAACCAUGCACAUUUAACAAUAAAUCAUGGCACAUUCGUAUUUCGUUUUCGUUAGCAAAACUCAAACACAAGACACUUAUCAUUCUUGCAAUUUCGGCUCAAUAGCCACACACAAAGAGCAUGAUUUUGAUUUGCUUAAAACAUGAUCUAAUCAAAUCAUAAUUUAAGCUCUUUUACUCAAGAACUUACCUCGGGUGUUGUCGAACGAUUCCGAUAGCUAUUCGACCACUUUUUCCUUCCCUUUAUCGGAUUUAAUUCCCCUUUGCUCUUGAGCUUAAUUAAACAAAUAAAUUGAUUUAAUCAUUUGAGCAUCGAAAAGAGGAACACAAGACACUUAGCCCAUAUUUAUACAUUAGACAUUAAAGUCACAUAUGUACGGAAUCAUGAAUCAAACUCAACAUUUUAGCUAAUUUUCCCCCUUGGCCGAAUUUUCUAAGCCAAGACAAAAGCAUCAAUAUGCUUGCCUCUAACCGAAUACAUGCGACACCAAUCUCCUUCCUAUGGCCGAAUAUGCAUGUCUAUGUUGGGGCCGAUUGCAACACUUAAUACAUUCUACAAGUAUGGUCACUUGUAUUGACUAAACACCAUUUUGUUUCAAGUUCAAAACUUGGCUAAUACACACAUAUAUACACUAGUAAAGCAUCCUCUCCCUUUCCAUCAAUUUAACACAUGCAUUACUCAUUAAUAUAUAAAAAUUAUAUUCGGCCUUAGCACACAACUUGCUAGCCGAUUCUUCUUCAUCUAGCAACCAAUGCACAUAUGUGCUCACUCAAAAAUGCUAAAAAGAAGAUUCAAGAAUCAUCAAUCCACCAUCACAUGCAUCAUUAACAAGCUUCAUAUUUAGCAUGCAAUGGCAUUAACACAAAAUCCACCUAGGUCGAAUAUCAUCCCCAUGACAUAGCAAAGAUUUGAACCAUGGGCUAAUUAGAACUCAAGCUAGCAACUAAAAACAUGCAUGAAUCUCAUGGCACAGCCUCAAACAUACCUUGAUCUAGAUACAAGUAUGGCCAAACCUCCUCCUAAUCCUCUUCCAAACCAAACAUGAAGCAAGAACUCAUUCCUCCUUCCUUAGAAUUUUCGGCCAAAAGAAGAUGAAAAAGGAUGAACAAAAUUUUUCUUUUCUUUUCUUUUACUCACGGCAAUGGGGGGAAACAACCACACACUUUUUUUUUGUUUUCAUCAUAUUCCCUUUCAUUAUUUUAUGCCCAUGCUCCUUAUUUUAUCAUACUUCCCAUGAAACACUAACUCAACAUGUUUAUGACAUGUUCUUGCCCAUCACACUUGGUCUACCAUGCUUGUCAUGGCCGGCCACUACUAAUUAAGGGGGAAUUUGACAUGCAAGUCCCCCCUUUUAUUUCAUGCACUAAUAGGUCCUUAUGCUUUGACCUAUCACAUUUCAAAAUUUUCUCACAUAAGUCCUAUUUACUAAAAUUCACCUACAAUUAAACAAAAUUCAAACAUGAAAUUUUCACACAUGCACAUGUACAUAUAAUGAGCAUCAAUUAUGAUGGUUAAUUAUUUUUAUGACUCGGUUUAGCGGUCCCGAAACCACUUCCCGACUAGGGUCAAUUUUGGGCUGUCACAACUCUCCCCCACUUAAGAAAUUUUUGUCCCCGAAAAUCUUACCGGUAAAUAAGUUUGGGUAUCGUUCUUUCAUCGAGCUCUCGAUUUCCCAAGUAGCUUCCUCGAUCCCGUGUUUGAGCCAUAACACCUUAACUAACGAAACCCUUUUGUUUCGCAACUCUUUCACUUCACGAGCUAGGAUAUGAAUCGGUUCUUCUUCAUAACUCAAGUCAGAUUGAAUUUCAACUUCUGAGGGAUUAAUCACAUGUGACGGAUCGGAUCUAUAACGUCGAAGCAUCGAAACAUGAAAGACAUCGUGAAUCUUUUCAAGUUCAGGGGGCAAAAUCAAUCUAUACGCAACCGGACCAACCCGUUCGGAGAUUUCGUACGGCCCAAUGAAUCUUGGGCUCAACUUGCCCUUACGGCCAAAUCUGAGUACAUUUUUUCAAGGCGAAACUUUAAGAAACACUUUAUCUCCCACCUGAUAUUCAAUGUCUUUUCGUUUCAAAUUCGCAUACGAUUUUUGACGAUCUGUGGCUGCCUUUAGACUUUCACGGAUUACCUUUACUUUCUGUUCGGCAUCUUUAAUCAAAUCAACUCCGAAAAUUUUACUUUCACCGAGCUCGGUCCAAAACAAUGGUGUACGGCAUUUACGACCGUACAAAGCCUCGUAAGGUGCCAUCUUAAUACUUGAUUGAAAACUAUUGUUGUAAGCGAAUUCAAUCAAAGGUAAAUACCGUUCCCAUGAACCACUAAACUCGAGGAUGCAACAUCUCAACAUAUCCUCAAGUAUCUGAAUUAUCCGCUCGGAUUGACCAUCGGUUUGUGGAUGAAAAGCGGUGCUAAAAUGCAGCUUGGUACCCAAAGCUUCUUGUAAUUUCUUCCAAAAUCACGAGGUGAAUCUCGGAUCUCUAUCCGACACGAUAGAAAUAGGUACCCCGUGUAAUAUCACAAUCUGAGAAACAUACAAUUCGGCUAGUUUAUCCAAUGAAAAAUCCGUACGCACGGGGAUAAAGUGAGCCGACUUAGUCAGUCUAUCAACAACAACCCAAAUCGCAUCCUUCUUACUUGCUGACAAUGGCAGUCCGGACACAAAGUCCAUUGUGACUCGAUCCCAUUUCCACUCGGGUAUCAUGAUCGGCUGAAGUAAUCCUGAAGGCACUUGAUGUUCUGCUUUCACUUGUUGACAUAUUAAACAUCUCGAAACAAAGUCGGAGAUGUCUCGUUUCAUACCAUGCCACCAAAACUGACGUUUCAAAUCGUUGUACAUUUUCGUACUCCCCGGGUGAAUUGACAUUCGGCUACAAUGGGCUUCGUUCAGAAUCAUCGAAAUGAGUUCCGAAUUCCUUGGAACACACAAAUGACUUCUGAACCUCAAACAAUCAUCAUCAUCAAUUUGAAACUCCGAUUCCUUGUUCGGAACACACUCAGCCCGUUUUGCAACCAAUUCAUCAUCAACUUUCUGGGCUUCACGAAUUUGAUGAAUCAAUAAUGGUUUGGCUUUUAAUUCAGCUACUAACACAUUGUCGGGUAGAACAGACAAGUGCACAUUCAUCGCUAGUAAAGCAAACAAUGAUUUUCGGCUUAAGGCGUUCGCAACCACAUUAGCCUUUCUCGGGUGGUAAUCAAUGACAAGCUCGUAAUCUUUCAACAACUCAAGCCAACGUCUUUGUCGCAGAUUUAAGUCUCUUUGAGUCAUCAAAUAUUUGAGACUUUUGUGAUCCGAAAAUACAUGGUACUUUUCACCAAAUAAGUAAUGUCGCCAUAUUUUUAAAGCAAAUACGAUGGCAGCUAGUUCAAGAUCAUGGGUCGGAUAAUUUUUCUCAUGCGGCUUUAAUUGUCUCGACGCGUAGGCCACCACUCGACCUUCUUGCAUCAAUACGCAACCCAACCCAAGUAGGGAUGCGUCACUAUAAAUGACAAACUCUUUGCCUGAUUCGGGUUGCACUAAAAUUGGAGCUUCAAUCAAAUAAGUUUUCAGUUGAUCGAAACUUUUCUGACAUUUCUCCGUCCAUUCGAACUUAACAUCCUUUUGAAGUAGCUUCGUCAUUGGUGUGGCUAUCAUCGAGAAACCUUUGACAAAUCGUCGGUAAUAAUCGGUGAGUCCCAAAAAGCUCCGAACCUCAGUAAUAUUUCUCGGAGGUUUCCAGUUAAAUAUGGCUGAAAUUUUGUUCGGGUUAACUCGAAUACUCGAUGCGGAUACCACAUGACCCAAGAAGCUAACCUCUCUUAACCAGAACUCACACUUACUGAACUUAGCAUAUAACUGCUUAUCCCGCAAAAUUUGCAACACUAAUCUCAGGUGCUCAGCAUGUUCGGUCUCAUCUCUUGAAUAGACCAAGAUGUCAUCAAUGAACACAACUACGAACCGAUCCAAAUAUGGUCUGAAGAUCCGAUUCAUCAAAUCCAUAAAUACCGCAGGGGCAUUAGUGAGCCCAAACGGCAUCACUAAGAAUUCGUAGUGACCAUAACUCGUUCUGAAGGCAGUUUUGGGUAUGUCCGAAUCUCGAAUUCGCAACUGAUAAUAGCCCGAUCUCAAAUCUAUUUUUGAGAACACUGAGGCUCCCUUCAGUUGGUCGAACAAAUCAUCGAUACGCGGUAACGGAUAUUUGUUCUUUAUUAUCACUUUAUUCAGCUGACGAUAGUCAAUGCACAACCUCAUGGUUCCGUCCUUCUUUUUCACGAACAAUACUGGUGCACCCUAAGGUGAGAAACUUGGUCGAGCAAAACCUCUAUCCGUCAAUUCUUGCAACUGAGCUUUCAACGCUUUUAACUCGGUUGGUGCCAUAUGAUACGGAGCUAUCGAAAUCGGCGUAGUCCCAGGUACAAGCUUAAUACCAAACUCUAUCUCCCGAACAGGUGGUAAACCCGGUAAUUCUUCAGGAAAAACAUCCGGGUAUUCACAAACCACCAGCACAGAUUCAGGUUUCUUUUCUAAUUCUUUGUCAUCAAGUACAUACGCAAGGUAUGUUUCGCACCCUUUUCUUACAUAUUUCUGGGCCAACAUUGAGGAUAUUACAGCUGGCAACCCCUUUAAGUCCGUAGACUCAACUCGGAUUAUCUCAUUAUUUGCGCACCUCAAAUCAAUAGUCUUGCUUUUGCAAUUCACAACUGAAUCAUGCGCGGUCAGCCAAUCCAAACCAAGAAUAACAUCAAAUUCAUCAAACGGCAAAAGCAUCAAGUCCGCCGGAAAACAGGAACCUCGAAUUACUAGGGGACAUUUCUUACACACUUUGUCGACAAGCACGUAACGACCCAAGGGAUUUGACACCUGAAUUACGAACUCAGUAGACUCAAUAGGUAAAGUCUUACUGGAUGCUAAGGUUUCACAUAUGUAAGAAUGAGUAGAACCGGGGUCAAUCAAAGCAAUUACAUUAGUAUCAAAGAGAGUAAAAGUACUGGUAAUAACAUCAGGCGAAGAAGCAUCCUCGCGGGCACGUAUAGCAUAAGCUCUAGCAGGCGCACGAGCCUCGGAUCUGGUCGUAGCAUCUCUAGAUCCUCUUUGACCACCACUAGCAUUGUCCAUAUUUCCAGAUGGUCUACCUCGAGCAGUGGUAGCACCCGGUUUCCCACUCUGAUUUACAUUCUGUUCAGACAACCUCGAGCAAUCUUUAAUGAAGUGGUCAACUGAUCCGCACUUGUAACAGGAGCGGUCAGGGAAUCUACAACUCCCCGAAUGCCAUUUACCGCAAUAUCGACAUUUCGUUCUGUCUCGACGUUCAUUCCCAACACUGGCGAUCGAAGUUCCUCGUGUACCCACAGGGGGUCGAUCACGAUCUCGUCUAAAAAGGCCCGAAGUGCCUCUAGACCGGCCCACAUCAUCUCGAAAUUUCUUCGAUGCCUGUUGAAGAGACUUUCCCGAAGAUCUUUUACGAAACUCUCCAGUUCCCACAUCAACUUUUUAUUUUUCUUUUCUAAGCUCUUCGGCUUUACAAGCUCACUCGACAAGUACUACGAACUCUCGUAUUUCAAGAAUGCCCACGAACAUUUUUAUAUCUUCAUUCAGCCCAUCCUCGAAGCGUUUACACAUGAUAGCCUCGGACGAAACACAUUCCCGAGCGUGUCUACCAAGUCUAACAAAUUUUCACUCGUAAUCAGUAACCAACAUAGAACCUUGCUUAAGCUCAAGAAAUUCCUUCCGUUUUUGAUCAACAAAUCUCUGACUGAUAUACUUUUUCCGAAACUCAGUUUGGAAAAACUCCCAAGUUACUUGCUUUCGGGGCACAACAGAAGUCAGAGUACUCCACCAAUAGUAGGCAGAAUCGCGUAGCAAGGAGAUAGUACACUUUAGGCAUUCAUCGGGUGUACAAGAUAGCUCAUCGAGUACCCGGAUAGUGUUGUCCAACCAAAAUUCAGCUUGCUCGGCAUCGUCGCUAUCCGUAGCUUUAAAUUCAGUAGCACCAUGUUUUCGGAUUCUGUCAACUGGGGGCUUAUUUGACCUUAUUUGGUCAGUUUCUGGAGGUAUUGUAGGUACGGGGGUGGUAUUAGUCGGGAAUGGAGGUUGUGGAACAGCCGUAUUAGUUCGAAUGUAUUGGUUGAACUAAUCAUUCAUCACGCUAUAGAAAGCUUGUCUAGCUUCAUCAUUCGGGUUACUAGCAUUAGGUUGAGAGUCCGCCGGCGCUGUCCCUUGUGCGGGAGCAGGCGCUACACUCUCAAGAUCAUCAGCUACCGCUCGGUCGGGAUCGGGAUCCAUUACUAUAAAUAAACACAUUUACAAUUGUCAGAAAUCACCACACUAUCAAAUAAUCACAUAAAAUGGCAUGUAUAGCUAGACCCAACGCAUUACGGUAGUCCUAGAAUCGACUAAACCGUAGCUCUGAUACCAAUCAAAUGUAACACCCCGAACCCGAGACCGCCACCGGAGUCGAACACGAGGUGUUAACAGACUUUAAAUCACUUAUAAAAAAAAUUUCCCAGACAUUGCCAAUCUGCAUGCUAGUCGCUUUAAAAAUCAUAUCUUGAGUUCAAAAACUCGGAAUCCAGUUUCGUAAAUUUUCCCUGAAACUAGACUUAUAUGCCCAUCUACAUAUUUUUUUCUAGAAUUUUUGGUUGGGCCAAUUAGUACAGUUUAUUAGUCAAAGUCUCCCAUGUUACAGGGAUCGACUGCACUGACCUUUGCGCAUUACGACUUGGAUAUCUCCCUGUACAGGGCUUCAAUACUGAUGCCGUUUGUUUCUAUAGAAACUAGACUCAGAGAGGAAUCUAUACAUAUAUGGCAUGACUCCUAAUUGUCUCUGGUUAAUUUAUAAUGAAUUUCCAAAGUCGGAACAGGAAAUCCAGAAACCGUUCUGGCCCUGUCUCACGAGAACCUGAAUAUCUCUUAACAUACUAUCCAUAUGAUUGUUUCGUUACUUUCCUAUGAAAAUAGAUUCAUCAAGGUUCGUUUACAUAAUUUAUUCACUAUUUAAUUCCAUUCCUACUAUUUUUAGUGAUUUUUCAAAUCUACAUCACUGCUGCUGUCAGCAUCUGCCUUUAAGGUAGACUUUACCUAUUUCAUAGUUUCCAUGAUUCAACUAGCCCUUUUAGCAUAAAUAGCACAAAUUAUGAUAGUGAUUAACCAUUUCCAUGGCCAAUCCUUGUUAAGCAUAUCCACACCUCUCAAUAACCAUAUCCAUACCAAAUGAUGAUAACAUUAUGCUCAAACAUAUAUAAGCCAUUUUCGCAUGGCUAUCCAAAAUUAUACAAGUCCAAAGGGUCCAUGACCCACAACAAAAAGGGUAGUCCUAUACAUGCCAUUUCGAAGUUCAACCAAAAUUGUACCAAAAGGGGGGGCUUUGAUAGUGUGGGCGACUUCGACUUCAAAAUCCCGAGUCCGAUAGCUGGAGAACCAAAAUCUAUAAAACAGAGAAUCAAGGAGACGGAGUAAGCAAUUUAUGCUUAGUAAGUUUUGAGCAAGGGAUUCCAGCACAACAAAAGUAUAGCAUUCAUGUAGCUAAACGGAUAAUUUCAUAUGCACAAUUUUUCAAUAUCAUACUUACUUCACAUUACCAACCCUUUUAUUCAUACACAAAGAUCAACUUAGCCAAAGGCCGGUAGCUCAUUUAUCAACUGAGCGAAUACUUAUUUGUAAGGGCUCAACUAAUUCAAAGCACAUACGAAACAUACCUUAAUGUUGGGAUGUUUCAAGCGUAUUAACUGAAAUUUUUACAGCAAGAUCAUUUAUUCUCAAAUCACGUACCUUCGAAAUUUAACCGGAUAUAGCUACUCGUUCAAAUGCCUUCGGGACAUAGCCCGGUUAUAGUAACUCGUACAAAUGCCUUCGAGACUUAACCCUGAUUUAGUAACUCGCACAAAUGCCUUUGGGACUUAACCCGAAUUUAGUAACUCGCACAAAUGCCUUCGGGCUUAGCCCGGAAUUAGUAUCUCGCACAAAUGCCUUCGGAUCUUAGUCCGGAUAUGGUCACUUAGCACAAAGCCUUCGGGAUUUAGCUCGGACAUCAUUCAAAUAACCAUGCACAUUUAACAAUAAAUCAUGGCACAUUCGUAUUUCGUUUUCGUUAGCAAAACUCAAACACAAGACACUUAUCAUUCUUGCAAUUUCGGCUCAAUAGCCACACACAAAGAGCAUGAUUUUGAUUUGCUUAAAACAUGAUCUAAUCAAAUCAUAAUUUAAGCUCUUUUACUCAAGAACUUACCUCGGGUGUUGUCGAACGAUUCCGAUAGCUAUUCGACUACUUUUUCCUUCCCUUUAUCGGAUUUAGUUCCCCUUUGCUCUUGAGCUUAAUUAAACAAAUAAAUUGAUUUAAUCAUUUGAGCAUCGAAAAGAGGAACACAAGGCACUUAGCCCAUAUUUAUACAUUAAACAUUAAAGUCACAUAUGUACGGAAUCAUGAAUCAAACUCAACAUUUUAGCUAAUUUUCCCCCUUGGCCGAAUUUUCUAAGCCAAGACAAAAGCAUUAAUAUGCUUGCCUCUAACCGAAUACAUGCGACACCAAUCUCCUUCCUAUGGCCGAAUAUGCAUGUCUAUGUUGGGGCCGAUUGCAACACUUAAUACAUUCUACAAGUAUGGUCACUUGUAUUGACUAAACACCAUUUUGUUUCAAGUUCAAAACUUGGCUAAUACACACAUAUAUACACUAGUAAAGCAUCCUCUCCCUUUCCAUCAAUUUAACACAUGCAUUACUCAUUAAUAUACAAAAAUUAUAUUCGGCCUUAGCACACAACUUGCUAGCCGAUUCUUCUCCAUCUAGCAACCAAUGCACAUAUGUGCUCACUCAAAAAUGCUAAAAAGAAGAUUCAAGAAUCAUCAAUCCACCAUCACAUGCAUCAUUAACAAGCUUCAUAUUUAGCAUGCAAUGGCAUUAACACAAAAUCCACCUAGGCCGAAUAUCAUCCCCAUGACAUAGCAAAGAUUUGAACCAUGGGCUAAUUAGAACUCAAGCUAGCAACUAAAAACAUGCAUGAAUCUCAUGGCACAGCCUCAAACAUACCUUGAUCUAGAUACAAGUAUGGCCAAACCUCCUCCUAAUCCUCUUCCAAAUCAAACAUGAAGCAAGAACUCAUUCCUCCUUCCUUAGAAUUUUCGGCCAAAAGAAGAUGAAAAAGGAUGAACAAAAUUUUUCUUUUCUUUUCUUUUACUCACGGCAAUGGGGGGGAACAACCACACACUUUUUUUUUGUUUUCAUCAUAUUCCCUUUCAUUAUUUUAUGCCCAUGCUCCUUAUUUUAUCAUACUUCCCAUGAAACACUGACUCAACAUGUUUAAGACAUGUUCUUGCCCAUCACACUUGGUCUACCAUGCUUGUCAUGGCCGGCCACUACUAAUUAGGGGGGAAUUUGACAUGCAAGUCCCCCUUUUUUAUUUCAUGCACUAAUAGGUCCUUAUGCUUUGACCUAUCACAUUUCAAAAUUUUCUCACAUAAGUCCUAUUUACUAAAAUUCACCUACAAUUAAACAAAAUUCAAACACGAAAUUUUCACACAUGCACAUGUACAUAUAAUGAGCAUCAAUUAUGACGGUUAAUUAUUUUUAUGACUCGGUUUAGCGGUCCCGAAAUUACUUCCCGACUAGGGUCAAUUUUGGGCUGUCACAACAUCCAACGUGGCAAGUUAACUUGCCACAUCAGCUGGUUAACUUGCCACAUCAGCAGUCCCGUUAACCCCCUAAUGGAAACUGUUAAUCGGUGACUGUUUUGUCACUUUUUUAUAACGUUAGUAACUGUUUUGUUAUUUUUUAAAAGUUGAGUGACUGAUAUGAAACCUAGGUGACUGUUUUGUUAGCUACCCCAAAGUUGAGUGACAAUUAGUGUAAUUUACCCUAUUUAAAAAUUUGCAUAAUUUUAAGUUAGUUUACAUCUCUUUCUCAUUUUCUUUUCUUUAACUUUUUUUUCUUAUCAAAUACGUUCAAAAUUUAUUUUUUUUUACAACUUUUUCACCUUUAAUGCUUUAGUGCUUAUUGUGCACUUGUUGUGGAUGUUUGUUUAUGCAUUGCUCUUAAUGUUAUUAGCUAUGUAUCACCACUGGUAACAAUUCUAAAUUUGACCUUGAGUGCAUUAAAUUUAAUUGGACUCGAUAAUUGUUUUAGUUGCAUUUUGGUUUCACCCCUAUGUUAUCAUGGCAUGGACUUAGUAUUUUAAAACUAUAAUUAAUAAUGUGUACUAGUGAUGUCCUGAUGAGAGGAAGAAAGAAGAAAAUACAUUAAUGAAUCAUGUUUUUAACUUAUUUAAUUCUUCUUUAUCCUUAGAUUAUUUUCUAAUUUCAUGGUUGUUCAUUGUUUGCAGGUGUAAUUUAACUUGUUGGAAUCGACGCUACCAUCCAAUUUACAAUUUGUAAGAGGUAUGUAUGUUUAGUAUAGGCUAAAUCUUUAUUUGAUGUCUCUCCAUUGAAAUCUGACAUGUAUUCCAUUAGGUAUAUACCUUUCUCGGCAUUGAGAUUAAAAUUGACAGUUUCUAGAUAUCACACACAUGUUUGCACAUGUAAACCAACUUCCACUUCAUUUGCCUCGCUUUGCUUCGGAUCUUUGCUACUGGUUCCAAUGCGUAUGCUCUUACUUGCAUUAAUACUGUAAAAGGGAUCAUUUCUGCUCAAUUUGAAACCUUUUAAUAAUAUUAUACCUCUACGUGUAUGCUUGCCACGUG
This 15639-nucleotide long non-coding RNA is filed under the name Gossypium barbadense (sea-island cotton). RNAcentral's name for it is "long non-coding RNA (GBAR_LNC010735)". The record is from RNAcentral. Lineage: Eukaryota; Viridiplantae; Streptophyta; Magnoliopsida; Malvales; Malvaceae.